ACUCCUACGGGAGGCAGCAGUGGGAAUCUUGGACAAUGGGCGCAAGCCUGAUCCAGCCAUGCCGCGUGAGUGAUGAAGGCCUUAGGGUCGUAAAGCUCUUUCGCCAGGGAAGAUAAUGACGGUACCUGGUAAAGAAACCCGGCUAACUCGUGCCAGCAGCCGCGGGUAAUACGGAGGGGUUAGCGUUGUUCGGAAUUACUGGGCGUAAAGCGCGCGUAGCGGACUAUUAAGUCAGGGGUGAAAUCCCGGGGCUCAACCCCGGAACUGCCCUUGAUACUGGGUAGUUUUGAGUUCGAGAGAGGUGAGUGGAAUUCCGAGUGUAGAGGUGAAAUUCGUAGAUAUUCGGAGGAACACCAGUGGCGAAGGCGGCUCACUGGCUCGAUACUGACGCUGAGGUGCGAAAGUGUGGGGAGCAAACAGGAUUAGAUACCAUGGUAGGCUCUGC
This 445-nucleotide ribosomal RNA is filed under the name uncultured bacterium. RNAcentral describes it as "bacterial SSU rRNA". It matches the Rfam family "Bacterial small subunit ribosomal RNA", at positions 335 to 800 of the family's 1533-position model. The record is from RNAcentral.